CUAAUACCGUAUAACAAUCGAAACCGCAUGGUUUUGAUUUGAAAGGCGCUUUCGGGUGUCGCUGAUGGAUGGACCCGCGGUGCAUUAGCUAGUUGGUGAGGUAACGGCUCACCAAGGCCACGAUGCAUAGCCGACCUGAGAGGGUGAUCGGCCACAUUGGGACUGAGACACGGCCCAAACUCCUACGGGAGGCAGCAGUAGGGAAUCUUCGGCAAUGGACGAAAGUCUGACCGAGCAACGCCGCGUGAGUGAAGAAGGUUUUCGGAUCGUAAAACUCUGUUGUUAGAGAAGAACAAGGAUGAGAGUAACUGUUCAUCCCUUGACGGUAUCUAACCAGAAAGCCACGGCUAACUACGUGCCAGCAGCCGCGGUAAUACGUAGGUGGCAAGCGUUGUCCGGAUUUAUUGGGCGUAAAGCGAGCGCAGGCGGUUUCUUAAGUCUGAUGUGAAAGCCCCCGGCUCAACCGGGGAGGGUCA
RNAcentral lists this ribosomal RNA (476 nucleotides) under uncultured bacterium. Its description in RNAcentral is "bacterial SSU rRNA". It matches the Rfam family "Bacterial small subunit ribosomal RNA", at positions 163 to 625 of the family's 1533-position model. The record is from RNAcentral.